UACCAGCACCCCGAGUGGUCGGGACGUUUAUUGGGCCUAAAGCAUCCGUAGCCGGUUCUACAAGUCUUCCGUUAAAUCCACCUGCUUAACAGAUGGGCUGCGGAAGAUACUAUAGAGCUAGGAGGCGGGAGAGGCAAGCGGUACUCGAUGGGUAGGGGUAAAAUCCGUUGAUCCAUUGAAGACCACCAGUGGCGAAGGCGGCUUGCCAGAACGCGCUCGACGGUGAGGGAUGAAAGCUGGGGGAGCAAACCGGAUUAGAUACCCGGGUAGUCCCAGCUGUAAACGAUGCGGACUCGGUGAUGAGUUGGCUUAUUGCUAACUCAGUGCCGCAGGGAAGCCGUUAAGUUUGCCGCCUGGGGAGUACGGUCGCAAGACUGGAAACUUAAAGGAAUUGGCGGGGAGCACCACAAGGGGUGAAGCCUGCGGUUC
RNAcentral lists this ribosomal RNA (429 nucleotides) under uncultured archaeon. Its description in RNAcentral is "bacterial SSU rRNA". It matches the Rfam family "Archaeal small subunit ribosomal RNA", at positions 474 to 903 of the family's 1478-position model. The record is from RNAcentral.